AGAGGUGUCAUGUAGAGCAAGGGGCGGGGCCUCAGGAUACAUUGAGGUGGGAUGCUGGGAAUAAGACAUUCAUGGAAAGUGUCAAUAAUUUCAUGAGCACAGAGAUAGCAGCACAGUCAGGCUCUCAGGACCAGAGACACACAGGAUGGUCUAAGUUCCAAGGAGAGGGUAUCAGAACCCACAUGGCAGAAGAGGGGUUAUCUACCUACAUCUCCCCAAGAACAUUGAUGUUUCACAGCACAAUCCUGCAGCCAUGAGUUCUGAUUCUCAGAGAGGAGACAUAGAAGGGGGUGGUAUUCAGGAAUAUGUGGUCACCAAUAACCACUUCAAUGUAAACUGAACUCUCUGGUGAGAGAUCCUGGCACUAAGAGGUCUAUUAUUUUGGGAAUAAGAGAUGAUGUCUCACAGGGAGCCUGUGGGUUACCCUGAGAGGCAGAGGACAACUGUUCAGAGUCAGUUUUCUCCUUGUACCAUUUGGAUCCCCACGAAUCACACAGGUCAUUGGGCUAGACUCCGUUUCCAACUGAGAUAUCUCACUGGCACAUACUAUAUUUUGCUGAUAAAUAUGUAAUUUAAAAUACUUCACUUCAAAUAAAUUUAGAAAAUAUUGUCUGUGAUUUAUCACCAUC
RNAcentral lists this long non-coding RNA (629 nucleotides) under Rattus norvegicus (Norway rat). Its description in RNAcentral is "long non-coding RNA NONRATT007362". Lineage: Eukaryota; Metazoa; Chordata; Mammalia; Rodentia; Muridae. The record is from RNAcentral.